Molecule: long non-coding RNA, 2876 nt
Filed under: Gossypium barbadense (sea-island cotton)
Lineage: Eukaryota; Viridiplantae; Streptophyta; Magnoliopsida; Malvales; Malvaceae
Description: long non-coding RNA (GBAR_LNC009500)
Source: RNAcentral
UUUUAUUAAAAGAAAAAGGGGUGAAAAGAACAAAGUUUUGUCCAUCUUUGUUCAUCAUAGCUGAAAGUUAGAGAAGAGAAAGGAGAGGAGAAAGCUCUUGAGUAUUCGGUCACUUGGGGAAGAAAAUUGAAGGUAAGUUCAUGGUAGUUUGCUUCUAUCUUGAUGUUCAUGAGUUCUUCUUGAUUCUACCUUAACUCUUGAAGCAUAUUUUGGUUUUUGGUUGUGUUGUGAGCAUUUGGUCAUGAAUUAAAAUGAAGGAAAUGGUUGUUGUUUUAUGUUCUUUUGAUGAAAAAUGGAAGAUAUGUGAAGUUGAGCCAAACAAAUGAGCAUGCAUGUGCUUAGAUGCUAAGGGGAAAAAUCGGCUAAUAUGUUGUGCUUUAAAAUGAUGAAAUGGAGAUUAUACUUAAGUAAAAUCAUAGAUAUGUGAUGAUUGAUUGGUGAUAUACAUGUUUUAAAAAAAACAUGCAUGUAAGUUAUGUGUGAAAGAGUGAUUUGGUAAUAAAUCUGCUUGGGACCGCAGCAGUAACGUGACUUUGGAAAAUUACCAUAAAUUGUGGGAGAUGAGUUAGAAGCUGCAUAAAUUAUGUAAUUAAAGCUUAAUGAGUCUAGUUUCAAAUGGAAUAAACGAAAACAUAUUGUGAAUUCUGUACAAUGAGAAAUUUGAUUCGUAAUGAAGAGUGGUCAGAUUAGUCAAACAGUGAAACAUGCGAAACUUUGAGAAAAAUCUGGUAUUGAUUGGCCAAACCAAAAAUUCUGAAAAUUUUAUGGAUAUAAGAUAUAUGAGUCUAUUUUUAGGGAAAAUUAACGGCACUUGAUUUGGAGUUUCGUAUCUCCAAUUAUAAAUGAUUUAGUGACUGUUGCCAGGAAGACAGCUUGCAGUGAAAUUAUGAUUAUGUGGUAAACAUUGACAAAAAUUUGUUAAUGAGUUGCUUAUUGAUUUCUUAUAAGCUUACUAUGAUCUGUAGGUGUGGUUGGCCAAAUAUUGUAAAGGGUUAAUACGUAGUUUGUAUUUGAAUAGUUAGAUUAACGUGUUAGUAAUCCAAUUGUAGGCGGUUCGUGUGUGGAUCUCGUCAGCAUAUCGUCGCAAACAGGUGUGUAACUAACACCCUCUUUCUUAGUCUAGAUCGGCAAAAGUCGAAAAGCCGAAAUACCGAAAACCAGUAUUUUGUAGAUUUGCGAAUGUGCGAAUGCUCGUGAGGUAAAUCGAUUAAUGUUUUUGGUAAGCUGCAAAAUUUGGACUGCAAAGUGCAUGAUUUCUGUGCCCUCGAUAUUUUUGGCCUUAAUGGGCCAAAAUUGGAAUGAUGGGCCAACGGGCCCAAUUCGGUAAGAACCCUCGAUACGUGAUUCUUUAGUACGUGAAAGGUAGGAAUAUGCAUGAAAAACCCUAAAAAUAGAUAAAUUACUGAAAUACCUUUAAAAGUGAAAAAUUUACAGUUUUACCCCUAAGAGAUAAAUUAUCGAAAUACCCCUAGGGUUAAAUUGACCUAAAUGCAUGUUUGACUAUUGUUAUUUACUGCAUGCCAUGUUGUUAUUAUCUGAUGCAUGGGACUGGGAUAUUGACAGAGGAAGUACUGAAAGUGGCUUAUCCACGUACUGGAGGCUUUGCCUCAAUUUAUUGUUAACUGAGCAGCAAGGCUGCAACUGUGGAGUGUUGGGCUGGGUGGGUUGAGCUAUUCCCCACAUGGAGUGUAUGGCUGGUACGAGUGGAGUGUAGUGGUUGGUGGGUUGAGUAGUCUCCCCAAAUGGGCUUGCAUAUGUUAUUGAUGUUGCAUGUAUUUUGAAAUGGGCCUAUGGGCCAUACUGUUAUCUGAAUAAGGGGCUAAGGCCCAGUUUAUUGUAAUCUGAAAAGGGCUCUGGCCCAGUACCAUGUUACCUGAAUAGGCUUAGGCCCAAUAAGCUUAGGCCCAAUAGGCUUGAGCUGACUUGGGCUUUGAAUGGGUUUUCCUUACACACUGAGUUUCCCCAAACUCACCCCUUUUAUUUUCAUCCACGCAGGAAAUCCCCAACCAUAGUGGGCUUGGAGCUGUGAGGGAAUUCGGAGUGGCCACCCGUUCUGAAAGUUUGAUUUUCUUCUGGUGAACUGGACAUCUUUUUAAUUACGUUUGAAGUUUUUGGGCUUUUAAAUGUAAUAAGGCCACUUAAUUAUUUUUGAUGGUUUUAAUAUGUAUUACUAAGAUAGGUAAUACUUAUUUUAACUGUUGAAAUUGGAUAGCUUUAGGGCACGUUUUCAAAAACAACAGUUGAUUUCAAAAUAACACGACAACAAGCAAAGCUUCCACAAUGAAAGUAUUUUCCAAAAUUAAUCACUUUUCCUAAAAAUGACUUAAUCAAAUCGGUUUCCUAGAAAUAUCCAUGACGUUAAGGUGUGGCAAUUGCGGUAUGCAUGUCUAGGAUUGGAUCCGAAGGGAGCUUGGUACUUAAGCAGUCCGAUGGACUCACCACCUCUUUUCCGGUUUCCUACCUGGUGCACAGCUUCCAUUCACCUUAACCCUUAAUGAAUUAAUCUUUUGAACAUCAAGUACGAUUUUUUGGACUUAGAAUGAUUUUUUUUUUACGUUUUUGAUGUGGCAUGCCGGAUCCGGCCAUAACUUCUGGGUCGGGUAAUGGGUGCUACAGAAUCUCUGUUGUCUUGAGCUCUUCGGCUAACUCCUGACCAAAUUUAGUACAUUUGAAUCUCUUCUUUAUAUAUUUUGAUUUUUUUUUACAUUAUCAUUUUCCCUUUCUUGAUAGGUCCUAUUUGGGUCUCUUUGAAAUAGGAGAUUUUCUUUCUUUCUUUUUUCUACUUUUGUUUGCUUUUAUUGUAGUUGAGGACUUGAGGUGAUAUUUGGUUGCUGCUUCAAAGUAAGGAUGUUGAAUAGCCAAAUUUUAGAUUUUUU